GUUUGAAGGGAAGUGAGUUUUUUUGGAAGUAGUGGUCAAACCAAUUAGUCUUUAGAUCUGAAUAUUGGCACCUUUGUUGGCCACUAAGAGGUGGACACGCCUCUGAGGACACGAGGGGUUAAAAGCCGGAUUUCCCAGCAGGACUCCUUCUUUCCUGCUCUGCUUUCGGAGAGGGAGCGUCUUCUCCUCUCCCCUGUCCGGGCCUGGCUAGGCCGGGUGGGGGAGGGGAGCAAGGUGGGCCUGGCUUAGCAAGAGAGAAGGUGCCGAGCUGGAGCUGCUUGUGAGAGCUGCAGUGUCUGCGAUCGCCUGUGCCUGACCUUGGUGGUGGGAGAUAAAGCUUUUAACUCUUUCUAAGGCAGAAGAGAGUUACCCCUGGACGCUGAAUUCUCAUAGUUGGUGGUUUUAGAAGAGAGAGGACAGCCUGGGACCGAGAGGGUAAUGUGAGAUGGAAAGAAGCCCCUUCGAUUGCCGGAAUGAAGAGGAGUGGCUUAUGAGGCUGGACUUUUCUUGCAUAAUGAUAGCCAUAGACGGACCCUGGACCCUCCUGACUAUAAAUAAGACUGUGUUUGGGUGGAUGUUUUUGGCUCAAACCCAGAGACGUUCUGGCCUGCUUCUUGGAGCCCCCGGCCCCAGGGGUAAAUGGGGGGGAACCUGAGUCCCGAAAUGAGAAGAUGGCUGGUUUUUGGUACUUGGCCAAAACAUCCUUAAAAAGAGCCCUGUUGCAGUGCAGGUCCAUGGACGGCAGUGAGAGUGCCGGACAUGGAAAGGAGGGUGUCACCCUGGCAGACCCUUCCAGGCAGUGCCAUGGGUGACGUGGGAACGCGGGAUGGUGGACCUGUGUUUCCUGUGGGGAGGGGUCUGUGGUGCGAGAGAGACUCCUCUCGUCCUGGAUGGAAUGUGGAUUGUCUGAAUUUUAAAGGAUGAUGAUUUGGAUUAGGAACCCAGGGUUGUGGAGGGAUUAAGCAAGUAGAUGAAGGUAAUGUGCUGGAGACAACUGAGUGAGCAUGUAUGGAAUGGAAAUUGGGGGGGAGGAGAAGCAGUGUUUUGGGAGGUUUUUUCUUCUGCUUUUGGGUGGUUGGGUUUUUCUUUCCUUUUCUAUUGUCCAUUGUUAUGUAAUAUAAUAAAUUGUCUGUCUGUUUCAAGAA
Long non-coding RNA from Prinia subflava (tawny-flanked prinia), 1145 nucleotides. RefSeq lists it as uncharacterized. The transcript has 2 exons. The record is from RefSeq and is a predicted model, not a curated record. Lineage: Eukaryota; Metazoa; Chordata; Aves; Passeriformes; Cisticolidae.